GACGAACGCUGGCGGCGUGCCUAAUACAUGCAAGUAGAACGCUGAAGAGAGUAGCUUGCUCUUCUUGGAUGAGUUGCGAACGGGUGAGUAACGCGUAGGUAACCUGCCUUGUAGCUGUGGAUAACUAUUGGAAACGAUAGCUAAUACCGCAUAACAAUGGAUGACACAUGUCUUUUAUUUGAAAGGGGCAAUUUCUCCACUACAAGAUGGACCUGCGUUGUAUUAGCUAGUAGGUGAGGUAAUUGCUCACCUAGGCGGCGGUACAUAGGCGACCUGAGAGGGUGAGUGGACACACUGAGACUGAGACACGGCCCAGACUCCUACGGGAGGCAGCAGUAGGGAAUCUUCAGCAAUGGGGGCAACCAUGACCGAGCAACGCAGCGUGAGUGAAGAAUGUUUUCGGAUCGUAAAGCUAUGUUGUAAGUCAAGAACGGGGGUGAGAGUGGAAAGUUCACACUGUGACGGUAGCUUACCAGAAAGGGACGGCUAACUACGUG
Molecule: ribosomal RNA, 497 nt
Filed under: uncultured bacterium
Lineage: Bacteria
Description: partial 16S ribosomal RNA
Rfam family: Bacterial small subunit ribosomal RNA
Source: RNAcentral